AUUGAACGCUGGCGGCAGGCCUAACACAUGCAAGUCGAGCGGUAGAGAGAAGCUUGCUUCUCUUGAGAGCGGCGGACGGGUGAGUAAUGCCUAGGAAUCUGCCUGGUAGUGGGGGAUAACGUCCGGAAACGGACGCUAAUACCGCAUACGUCCUACGGGAGAAAGCAGGGGACCUUCGGGCCUUGCGCUAUCAGAUGAGCCUAGGUCGGAUUAGCUAGUUGGUGGGGUAAUGGCUCACCAAGGCGACGAUCCGUAACUGGUCUGAGAGGAUGAUCAGUCACACUGGAACUGAGACACGGUCCAGACUCCUACGGGAGGCAGCAGUGGGGAAUAUUGGACAAUGGGCGAAAGCCUGAUCCAGCCAUGCCGCGUGUGUGAAGAAGGUCUUCGGAUUGUAAAGCACUUUAAGUUGGGAGGAAGGGCAGUAAAUUAAUACUUUGCUGUUUUGACGUUACCGACAGAAUAAGCACCGGCUAACU
This 479-nucleotide ribosomal RNA is filed under the name Pseudomonas sp. oral taxon C84. RNAcentral describes it as "bacterial SSU rRNA". It matches the Rfam family "Bacterial small subunit ribosomal RNA", at positions 30 to 502 of the family's 1533-position model. The record is from RNAcentral. Lineage: Bacteria; Pseudomonadati; Pseudomonadota; Gammaproteobacteria; Pseudomonadales; Pseudomonadaceae.